UAGGGAAUUUUCGGCAAUGGACGAAAGUCUGACCGAGCAAUGCCGCGUGAAUGAUGAAAUUCUUCGGAAUGUAAAAUUCUGUUAUUUGUGGAAGAAAGGUAUUACUAGGAAAUGAGUAGUAUUUGACGGUACCAAAUGAGAAAGCCCCGGCUAACUAUGUGCCAGCAGCCGCGGUAAUACAUAGGGGGCAAGCGUUAUCCGGAAUUAUUGGGCGUAAAGCGUGCGUAGGCGGUAAGGAAAGUCUGGCGUGAAAUAUCAUGGCUUAACCAUGAGAGGUCGUUGGAAACUGUCUUACUUGAAUCCAGAAGAGGUAAGUGGAAUUCCAUGUGUAGCGGUAAAAUGCAUAGAUAUAUGGAGGAACACCAGUGGCGAAGGCGGCUUACUGGUCUGGCAUUGACGCUGAGGCACGAAAGCGUGGGUAGCAAACAGG
This 430-nucleotide ribosomal RNA is filed under the name uncultured prokaryote. RNAcentral describes it as "bacterial SSU rRNA". It matches the Rfam family "Bacterial small subunit ribosomal RNA", at positions 355 to 776 of the family's 1533-position model. RNAcentral also lists the same sequence under 1 other name. The record is from RNAcentral.